Molecule: long non-coding RNA, 1545 nt
Organism: Ostrea edulis (European flat oyster)
Lineage: Eukaryota; Metazoa; Mollusca; Bivalvia; Ostreida; Ostreidae
Exons: 3
Source: RefSeq, a predicted model, not a curated record
UCAACUAUAUCAACAUCACCAGUAAUGACAUGUCCAGCUGGACUAUAGUUGAAAGAAGAUGGAGAACAAGAACACGUAGGUGGAUUAAGUAUUUAUAAGGUCUAUAUCUAGGCACUACAAAGUUUGUUUAUAAUUCAAAAGUGUGGAUGCAAUAGUAGAAGUAUAUGUGUAGGAAAUACUGGGUGUAGACUUGAACCUGAAACGACUGAGCUCUUUUAUGACAAAGAAUGUUGCUUAUGUUGACGGCAUCUAUUCCUUUGUUUGCAAAUUUGAACUUAAAGAACUGGCGGCAUGAUUUGGAAGGAAUAUCAUCCAUGACCCGUGGUGGUUUAAAGAGCCUCUGAUUGGCAACAUCCAUAAUCAUAGAGUUCAGUCUAUAUUCAGGUGUUGAAAAAUCCAAGUAUAGACUAGCUGUGGGUUCUUCAAAUAACUUAAUAUGUAAAAGUUAAAACUCUCAAUGGAACAGAGUAAAGUUUUGUGUGAAUAUGAUAUGGAAAAAUAGAUAGAUGUGGUAAGAGAGAUCAUUAUGAUAAGAUUCAUUAUGAUAAGAUAGAUAUGGUAAGAUAGUAAUGGUGAGAUAUUGUAAAAUAGAUCAUUAUGAUCACUAAGGAUGACGGCCAAAGAAUAUGCAGAAUUCUGACUUUCAUGGAGGACUGUUGAAACCCCUGUAUUUUCAAAUAAUAUAUUAAUAACAUGUCCUGGUUUGAAAAUUGAUCAUAAACAGAACAUGCUGUAAUAUAUCGAAUCAAUUUAAAGAUAUAUGGGCACCAUAUGCAGAAGAUAAUGGAACAUUGAGGGAGCACUACAUAAUAUGAGAAGCUGACGAUAGGGAAGCAACAAAUAAAUAGAAGUCCGCCAUCUCAGCUUAACUUCCUAUACAUUUAUGUAAGUAAUCAGGGAAGAAAGCCAUCCUUAUUUCUAAUAUUUCAGUAACUUAAAAUUAAUCCAUGUAAAUCACUGUGGUGUUUUAUAUGUGACGUGAAAUGUGAUUUCAUUAAAUGGCAUUUUGGCUCGGACUUCAGUGAGUUGCCAAAGCCAGGCUUGAUGAGACAAACCCUGGUGGAAUUAUCCAUAGAACUUGAUGAAGGAAUGUUUAAAAUUGUGUCGACUUGACACAAUAUAUAUAAGCACUAAAUAAUCACAACUAGGUACUGAAAAUUUUCGCCCAGCCCGGGGUCGAACCAGCAACGUACGGCACCCACCGCCUAGCAAGACUGUCAAACCAGUGCCGUACACUUCGGAACUGCUCCUGAAGAACUCCUUGUAGCGAGCGGACUCUGCCGAGGAGUUGCGAAAAGCUACCUUGUCUUGUGUAGGCGGUCUAAAAGAAUGAAAUGAUGCAAAGCAUAAAAAUUCCAUUCAACUCUAGAAAUCUACUUCAAAUAUGCUGACGGUAUUAUGUUUUCCCAUUCCUUUUGAAUAAGACUCUAAGCUUUUAAGACGAUGCUUUGUGGUGAUGAUAUCAACCUACCGUGACUUUUUCCGCCGAGCAAAGCAGACGAUCGCAACAAUAAGAAUGAUGAGGAAGAAUCCACCAAUCGCAGC